This 541-nucleotide transfer RNA is filed under the name uncultured Gammaproteobacteria bacterium. Its description in RNAcentral is "16S-23S ribosomal RNA intergenic spacer". The stretch from base 88 to 161 matches the Rfam family "tRNA". Lineage: Bacteria; Pseudomonadati; Pseudomonadota; Gammaproteobacteria. The record is from RNAcentral.
ACGAGAAACGUCGCUCACACGAUCACAAGUUCCCACACAAGUAGUCUGGCAGACCACGUUUAUUGCAAGUGCUCUAGUACCGAACACGGGUCUAUAGCUCAGUUGGUUAGAGCGCACCCCUGAUAAGGGUGAGGCCGGUGGUUCGAGUCCACCUAGACCCACCACUCUUGCAUCGCAAAAGGUUUUCAGGGGCCAUAGCUCAGCUGGGAGAGCGCCUGCCUUGCACGCAGGAGGUCGUCGGUUCGAUCCCGUCUGGCUCCACCACUUUCUGAUUCACCCAGAAUCGAAAGGCAUUGCAAUAAAUGUACACAACCACGGUAACUUCAGAAGUCACCGCAAAGCAGCCCUGUGGGCUGCUUUGCACUGGCUUUUGUCGGUUCAACCUAAGUAGAUAGGUCGUUCUUUAACAAAAUGGAAAAAUAUCAAGGCGAAAUGUAUAACUGAGAAGAUUAUAUAUCUCAAGAUUGAUCGUUACGAGAUUAUAGACACUCUGUAACCCGAGUUUACCGCACAAAAGGUAGUAGACUGUUUCGGGUUAUAG